RNAcentral lists this ribosomal RNA (588 nucleotides) under uncultured bacterium. Its description in RNAcentral is "partial 16S ribosomal RNA". It matches the Rfam family "Bacterial small subunit ribosomal RNA", at positions 355 to 1375 of the family's 1533-position model. The record is from RNAcentral.
UGGGGAAUUUUGGACAAUGGGCGAAAGCCUGAUCCAGCAAUGCCGCGUGUGUGAAGAAGGCCUUCGGGUUGUAAAGCACUUUUGUCCGGAAAGAAAUCCUUGGCUCUAAUACAGUCGGGGGAUGACGGUACCGGAAGAAUAAGCACCGGCUAACUACGUGCCAGCAGCCGCGGUAAUACGUAGGGUGCAAGCGUUAAUCGGAAUUACUGGGCGUAAAGCGUGCGCAGGCGGUUUGCUAAGACCGAUGUGAAAUCCCCGGGCUCAACCUGGGAACUGCAUUGGUGACUGGCAGGCUAGAGUAUGGCAGAGGGGGGUAGAAUUCCACGUGUAGCAGUGAAAUGCGUAGAGAUGUGGAGGAAUACCGAUGGCGAAGGCAGCCCCCUGGGCCAAUACUGACGCUCAUGCACGAAAAGCGUGGGGGAGCAAACAGGAUUAGAUACCCUGGUAGUCCACGCCCUAAAACGAUGUCAACUAGUUGUUGGGGAUUCAUUUCCUUAGUAACGUAGCUAACGCGUGAAGUUGACCGCCUGGGGAGUACGGUCGCAAGAUUAAAACUUAAAUGAAUUGACGGGGUCAUAGCUGUUUCCU